ACUCCUACGGGAGGCAGCAGUGGGGAAUAUUGCACAAUGGGCGCAAGCCUGAUGCAGCCAUGCCGCGUGUGUGAAGAAGGCCUUCGGUUGUAAAGCACUUUCAGUUGUGAGGAAGGUGGUGUCGUUAAUAGCGGCAUCAUUUGACGUUAGCAACAGAAGAAGCACCGGCUAACUCCGUGCCAGCAGCCGCGGUAAUACGGAGGGGUGCGAGCGUUAAUCGGAAUUACUGGGCGUAAAGCGCAUGCAGGUGGUUUGUUAAGUCAGAUGUGAAAGCCCGGGGCUCAACCUCGGAACUGCAUUUGAAACUGGCAGACUAGAGUACUGUAGAGGGGGUAGAAUUUCAGGUGUAGCGGUGAAAUGCGUAGAGAUCUGAAGGAAUACCGGUGGCGAAGGCGGCCCCCUGGACAGAUACUGACACUCAGAUGCGAAAGCGUGGGGAGC
Molecule: ribosomal RNA, 441 nt
Filed under: uncultured bacterium
Lineage: Bacteria
Description: bacterial SSU rRNA
Rfam family: Bacterial small subunit ribosomal RNA
Source: RNAcentral